Molecule: ribosomal RNA, 1204 nt
Filed under: metagenome
Description: bacterial SSU rRNA
Rfam family: Eukaryotic small subunit ribosomal RNA
Source: RNAcentral
CCCCCGUUGGACCGGCUGGCGUCCCAAGGGCACCAAUCUUGCCGCUAGGCAGGGAUGGAGUUCCAGGGACAGCGCCAAAGAAUGCCCUCGAGGCACUUCUAGGCUAUGGGCUUCAGACCUAUCAACUGUUGGAGGCUGGGUAAGGUCCAGCCUCGGUUACGACGGGUACAGAGGAUCAGGGUUCGGUCCUGGAGAGGUAGCCUGAGAGAUAGCUACUACUUCUAAGGAAGGCAGCAGGCGCGCAACGUUCCCAAUGGUUUGCCACCCAGUGGCCGAGGACGUUGAGGGACAUAACAAUGCCCUGCCUGAUAAAGGCGGGGUAAUUGUAAUGGGGACGUUUUAAACCCCCUACCGAGUAGCAAUUGGAGGACAAGUCUGGUGCCAGCACCCGCGGUAAUUCCAGCUCCAAUAGCAUCUAAUUGAGUUGUUGCAGUUAAAACGCUCGUAGUCUGAAUCGGUCGCACUGCCCCGUUGAGUAGGCCUCUUUCGGGUUGGACUGCCCGGCGCAAGCCGGCGGCCUCUCGGGAUUGGAUCCAAAGGCGGGUGUCGGAGGCGACCAUAAUGGCCAGGGACCGGCGUAUCCCGCUCGCCCUCGUGGUUUGAGCGGUGGGGCUACCCCUGGUCGUUUUACUUUGAGGAAAUGUGAGCGCUCCAAGCAGCCCCUUUUGGGGCCUGAAGCCUGCAGCAAAGAAUAAUGCAACACGGCCUAACAACCGUGGUGUAUUGGUGCACCGCACGGCAAUGGUCAAUAGGGGGGAUCGGGGUCGGCCUCAUGGCAGGGGUAGGGGUGAAAUCCGUUGAUCCUUGCCAGGAGAACAAGAGCGAAAGCAGCCGACAAGUACCCUUUCUUUGAUCAAGAACGAAAGUCUGGGGAUCGAAGAUGAUCAGAUACCAUCGUAGUCCAGACCCUAAAUGCUGCCGACCAUGGAUGGGCGCAAGUCCGUCCCGACCCUGCCCGCACCUUGUGAGAAAUCAUCAAGUGUUUGGGCUCCGGGGGGAGUAUGGUCGCAAGACUGAAACUUAAAGGAAUUGACGGAAGAGCACACAAGGAGUGGAGCCUGCGGCCUAAUUUGACACAACACGGGGAAACUCACGAGUGCAAGAGAGGGUCAUGAUGCCCGGCACGAAUUGCCUGGCAGAUUCUCUCAGUGGUGGUGCAUGGUCGUUCUUAGUUCGUGGAGUGAUUUGUCUGGUCUAUUCCGCU